Molecule: ribosomal RNA, 253 nt
Filed under: uncultured bacterium
Lineage: Bacteria
Description: partial 16S ribosomal RNA
Rfam family: Bacterial small subunit ribosomal RNA
Source: RNAcentral
UACGAAGGUCCCAAGCGUUAUCCGGAUUUAUUGGGUUUAAAGGGUGCGUAGGCGGUCUAUUAAGUCAGUGCUGAAAUAUCCCGGCUUAACCGGGAGGGUGGCAUUGAUACUGAUGGACUUGAGUGCAGUCGAGGUAGGCGGAAUUGACGGUGUAGCGGUGAAAUGCUUAGAUAUCGUCAAGAACACCGAUAGUGAAGACAGCUUACUAGACUGUAACUGACGCUGAGGCACGAAAGUGUGGGGAUCAAACAGG